UAACACCUGGAAACAGAUGCUAAUACCGGAUAACAACAGAUGAUGCCUAUCAACUGUUUAAAAGAUGGUUCUGCUAUCACUCUUGGAUGGACCUGCGGUGCAUUAGCUAGUUGGUAGGGUAACGGCCUACCAAGGCGAUGAUGCAUAGCCGAGUUGAGAGACUGAUCGGCCACAUUGGGACUGAGACACGGCCCAAACUCCUACGGGAGGCAGCAGNG
RNAcentral lists this ribosomal RNA (218 nucleotides) under uncultured Lactobacillus sp. RNAcentral describes it as "partial 16S ribosomal RNA". It matches the Rfam family "Bacterial small subunit ribosomal RNA", at positions 144 to 356 of the family's 1533-position model. The record is from RNAcentral. Lineage: Bacteria; Bacillati; Bacillota; Bacilli; Lactobacillales; Lactobacillaceae.